GGAAGGAUCAUUAUUGAAUUAUGUUUUCUAGAUGGGUUGUAGCUGGCUCUUCGGAGCAUGUGCACACCUGUUUGGACUUCAUUUUCAUCCACCUGUGCACCUUUUGUAGUCUUUUUCAGGUAUUGAAGGAAGUGGUCAGCCUAUCAGCUCUUUGCUGGAUGUAAGGACUUGCAGUGUGAAAACAGUGCUGUCCUUUACCUUGACCAUGGACUCUUUUUCCUGUUAGAGUCUAUGUUAUUCAUUAUACUCUUAGAAUGUCAUUGAAUGUCUUUACAUGGGCUAUGCCUAUGAAAAUUAUUAUACAACUUUCAGCAACGGAUCUCUUGGCUCUCGCAUCGAUGAAGAACGCAGCGAAAUGCGAUAAGUAAUGUGAAUUGCAGAAUUCAGUGAAUCAUCGAAUCUUUGAACGCAUCUUGCGCUCCUUGGUAUUCCGAGGAGCAUGCCUGUUUGAGUGUCAUUAUAUUCUCAACUCCCCAAUACCUUGUUGUAAAGGAGAGCUUGGAUUGUGGAGGUUUGCUGGCCCCUGCUUGGGGUCAGCUCCUCUGAAAUGCAUUAGCGGAACCGUCUGCGAUCUGCCACAAGUGUGAUAACUUAUCUACACUGGCGAGGGGAUUGCUUUCUGUGAUGUUCAGCUUCUAAUCGUCUAAGGACAAAUUCUUGAAUGCUUGACCUCAAAUCAGGUAGGACUACCCGCUGAACUUAA
Molecule: ribosomal RNA, 703 nt
Filed under: Agaricus subfloccosus
Lineage: Eukaryota; Fungi; Basidiomycota; Agaricomycetes; Agaricales; Agaricaceae
Description: eukaryotic LSU rRNA
Rfam family: 5.8S ribosomal RNA (bases 304-457)
Source: RNAcentral